RNAcentral lists this small RNA (539 nucleotides) under Oryza sativa Japonica Group (Japanese rice). Its description in RNAcentral is "sRNA Os04g0412225". The record is from RNAcentral. Lineage: Eukaryota; Viridiplantae; Streptophyta; Magnoliopsida; Poales; Poaceae.
GCAGCUAGCUAACUAAUACAGGUCUGCCUCCUUGUGCGUCUGGAUGACGCUGUUGGCGGUCGGGUACGCGACGCAGGUGAGCACGUAGCCGGCGCCGACCUGGGCGUCGUCGAGGAACGACUGGUCCGACUGGUCGACGCCGCCCUCGACGACCUUGCCGGCGCAGGUGGAGCACGCGCCGGCGCGGCACGAGUAGGGCAGGUCGACGCCGGCUUCCUCGGCCGCGUCCAGGAUGUAGGUGUCCUCCGGCACCUUGAUCACGCUCUCCUGCCCCUCCGGCCCGAUGAGCUUCACCGUGUAGACGGCGGCGGCGGCGCGGAUCAAGUCGCCGCGGGCUCUUGACGAGCUCAGGUGGAGCGUCGUUCGCCUCGUGCCGUCGUUCGGCGAACGCGUCGUCGGCAGGCGCAGGGUGUCGCGUGGCUUGGCGCUGAGGUUGCAGAGAAUUGGUGUGGUGACGGUAGUUGUUGCCAUCUCUCGAAGUCUGGGUAUUCGAGACCUGAAAAAUAAUGGUGAUCAGAAGCAAGAGAGGAGAUGCUAUA